CGUCGACAACUGAAAAGCCACAUAUAUUUUUCCUCUUCCAAACCGACGUGGUCUCAAGAACAGCGUGAUAGUCAAGAUGAAGGCUUUUACCUGCUUGGUUCUUCUGGUGUGCCUGGGUGUCGUCUUCGGAGACGCAGCCAUGGAAGAGUCUCCACGGCAAUUUGAUGCGAAAACUGACGAUCUUGAGUCCCGUCAAGCGUGUGAUCCGUGGAAUCCACAUAGUUGCCCUUACCCCCUUGUUUGCAACCAUCCUGGCUUCUGCGGUCGCCAGUAUGAUUAAACACGCCGUCUGCAUAAAGUGCGUCGAUGGCCGCCAAAAAAAACACGAUACCGAUGAGUCAGACGCUGAUAUGAAGCUUUGACCGACGGGAUUUAUUUGUUUCUCGUAGUGGGAUGCAUGUUAAUCUAUUAAUGGAACAAUUUCAGCUAUGUCCCUCAACAUUUCGGCUACAGAACAAAAUAAGAACUCUUAACUAAAAGAUUUUACUGGAUGUGAAAACUAGGUGUAUACUCUCAGCAGGACAUGAGUUCAAUUGAAUAAAAAGAAACACUAUAAGUUUCACAAUAAUAUCCGAAAUGCCGCUAAUGAAAAAUAUCCAGAAAAUAUACUCUUAUAGAUGAACAACAUCCGUAUUCCAAAAUUUGAACAUAAUUGUAUUAUUUGUCAAGAUUUCUUUAUUUCUGCUUUUAAUUUGAUGUAGUAAUACAAUGCAUGAACUCAGCAAUGAAUAAAAUUAUCGAAAGAUUUA
Molecule: long non-coding RNA, 749 nt
Filed under: Patiria miniata (bat star)
Lineage: Eukaryota; Metazoa; Echinodermata; Asteroidea; Valvatida; Asterinidae
Description: uncharacterized LOC119726940
Source: RNAcentral